This 498-nucleotide ribosomal RNA is filed under the name uncultured bacterium. RNAcentral describes it as "partial 16S ribosomal RNA". It matches the Rfam family "Bacterial small subunit ribosomal RNA", at positions 30 to 523 of the family's 1533-position model. The record is from RNAcentral.
AUUGAACGCUGGCGGCAUGCCUUACACAUGCAAGUCGAACGGUAACAGGUCUUCGGAUGCUGACGAGUGGCGAACGGGUGAGUAAUACAUCGGAACGUGCCUAGUAGUGGGGGGUAACUACUCGAAAGAGUGGCUGAUACCGCAUGAGAUCUACGGAUGAAAGCAGGGGAUCGCAAGACCUUGAGCUACUAGAGCGGCCGAUGGCAGAUUAGGUAGUUGGUGGGAUAAAAGCUUACCAAGCCGACGAUAAGUAGCUGGUCUGAGAGGACGAUCAGCACCACUGGGACUGAGACACGGCCCAGACUCCUACGGGAGGCAGCAGUGGGGAAUUUUGGACAAUGGGCGAAAGCCUGAUCCAGCAAUGCCGCGUGCAGGAUGAAGGCCUUCGGGUUGUAAACUGCUUUUGUACGGAACGAAAAGCCCUGGGUUAAUACCCUGGGGUCAUGACGGUACCGUAAGAAUAAGCACCGGCUAACUACGUGCCAGCAGCCGCGGUAA